GACGAACGCUGGCGGCGUGCUUAACACAUGCAAGUCGAACGGAAAGGCCCUGCUUUUGUGGGGUGCUCGAGUGGCGAACGGUGAGUAACACGUGAGUAACCUGCCCUUGACUUUGGGAUAACUUCAGGAAACUGGGGCUAAUACCGGAUAGGAGCUCCUGCUGCAUGGUGGGGGGUGGAAAGUUUCGGCGGUUGGGGAUGGACUCGCGGCUUAUCAGCUUGUUGGUGGGGUAGUGGCUUACCAAGGCUUUGACGGGUAGCCGGCCUGAGAGGGUGACCGGCCACAUUGGGACUGAGAUACGGCCCAGACUCCUACGGGAGGCAGCAGUGGGGAAUAUUGCACAAUGGGCGGAAGCCUGAUGCAGCAACGCCGCGUGCGGGAUGACGGCCUUCGGGUUGUAAACCGCUUUCGCCUGUGACGAAGCGUGAGUGACGGUAAUGGGUAAAGAAGCACCGGCUAACUACGU
Molecule: ribosomal RNA, 466 nt
Filed under: uncultured bacterium
Lineage: Bacteria
Description: partial 16S ribosomal RNA
Rfam family: Bacterial small subunit ribosomal RNA
Source: RNAcentral